AUCGCUUCUCAGCCUUUUGGCUAAGAUCAAGUGUAGUAUUCAUUCAUUCAUUCAUUCACCCUUGGGGACAGGGUCUCUGUCACCCAGACUGGAGUGCAGUGGCACAAUCUCAGCUCACUGCAACCUCCAAUCCUCA
RNAcentral lists this small nuclear RNA (136 nucleotides) under Nomascus leucogenys (northern white-cheeked gibbon). RNAcentral's name for it is "U2 spliceosomal RNA". It matches the Rfam family "U2 spliceosomal RNA". From Rfam's summary of the family: U2 is a small nuclear RNA (snRNA) component of the spliceosome (involved in pre-mRNA splicing). Complementary binding between U2 snRNA (in an area lying towards the 5' end but 3' to hairpin I) and the branchpoint sequence (BPS) of the intron results the bulging out of an unpaired adenosine, on the BPS, which initiates a nucleophilic attack at the intronic 5' splice site, thus starting the first of two transesterification reactions that mediate splicing. Lineage: Eukaryota; Metazoa; Chordata; Mammalia; Primates; Hylobatidae. The record is from Rfam by way of RNAcentral.